Molecule: ribosomal RNA, 273 nt
Filed under: uncultured bacterium
Lineage: Bacteria
Description: partial 16S ribosomal RNA
Rfam family: Bacterial small subunit ribosomal RNA
Source: RNAcentral
CGGUAACAAAGGGAAAGGCGAACCUGUNAGGGGGAGGCAAAUCCCAAAAAUAAACGUCCCAGUUCGGACUGUAGUCUGCAACCCGACUACACGAAGCUGGAAUCGCUAGUAAUCGCGAAUCAGAAUGUCGCGGUGAAUACGUUCCCGGGUCUUGUACACACCGCCCGUCACACCAUGGGAGUCGGAAAUGCCCGAAGUCUGUGACCCAACCUGAGAGGGAGGGAGCAGCCGAAGGCAGGUCUGAUGACUGGGGUGAAGUCGUAACAAGGUAGC